GGGAAGAUGGCCGAGUGGUCUAAGGCGCUAGUUUCAGGCUUUUGUGAUAAAAUCUUGGAUAAGACACUAGUCUUCGGGCGUGGGUUCGAAUCCCACUCUUCUCA
Non-coding RNA from Saitozyma sp. JCM 24511, 104 nucleotides. The record is from the annotation of a GenBank genome assembly. NCBI's taxonomy places the organism in Eukaryota, Fungi, Basidiomycota, Tremellomycetes, Tremellales, Trimorphomycetaceae.